RNAcentral lists this long non-coding RNA (491 nucleotides) under Chinchilla lanigera (long-tailed chinchilla). RNAcentral's name for it is "lncRNA (ENSCLAG00000028079.1)". The record is from RNAcentral. Lineage: Eukaryota; Metazoa; Chordata; Mammalia; Rodentia; Chinchillidae.
UGGGAGGCUGAGGCAGGCUGGGCAAUUUAGCAAGGCCCUGUCUCAAAAAUAGUUUUAAAAAAAAAGCCUGGGAUGGUCAGCUAGAGCACUUUCAUCCUCGGUACAAGAGAAAGCGAAAGCAAGUUCGCGCCCUGUACCCUUCCGGCUGCGUGGCAGUGCACAGCCCUGGUCGUGAAAGGCCCAAGCAGGUCUCUCAGAAGCGGUCCUGGGGGCUGCUCUCCCGCGGGCUGUGUCAUCUUGCCAUAGUCCGGACCCUUCCGGGUCCCCAGGGGCUCGCCCUGGAGGGAACCGCGCUCCUGGUAGUGGGGUGGGAGCCACACUGCUGCCUCUACACACCUCACGCCGAGCGGGACGCGCCCCACUGUGCCCGGCCCCGGAGCCCUGAGGGCUGUGGGGCUUGGUGUUGUCCUCCCGGCCUCGGCCCCACCCCGCCCGGUACUCACUCGAGGUCAAAGGCUGUGCUGGAGAAAGCAGAGGGGUCCACUAUGUAG